This 497-nucleotide ribosomal RNA is filed under the name uncultured bacterium. RNAcentral's name for it is "partial 16S ribosomal RNA". It matches the Rfam family "Bacterial small subunit ribosomal RNA", at positions 28 to 507 of the family's 1533-position model. The record is from RNAcentral.
GAUGAACGCUGGCGGCGUGCCUAAUACAUGCAAGUCGAGCGAACGGACGCGAAGCUUGCUUCUCUGAUGUUAGCGGCGGACGGGUGAGUAACACGUGGAUAACCUACCUAUAAGACUGGGAUAACUUCGGGAAACCGGAGCUAAUACCGGACGAUAUUUUGAACCGCAUGGUUCAAAAGUGAAAGACGGUCUUGCUGUCACUUAUAGAUGGAUCCGCGCUGCAUUAGCUAGUUGGUAGGGUAACGGCUUACCAAGGCAACGAUGCAUAGCCGACCUGAGAAGGUGAUGGGCCACACUGGAACUGAGACACGGUCCAGACUCCUACGGGAGGCAGCAGCAGCGAAUCGUCCGCAAAGGGCGAAAGCCUGACGGAGCAACGCCGCGUGAGUGAUGAAGGUCCUCGGAUCGUAAAACUCUGUUAUUAGGGAAGAACGUAUGUGUAAGUAACUGUGCACAUCUUGACGGUACCUAAACAGAAAGCAACGGCUAACUACGUG